RNAcentral lists this ribosomal RNA (427 nucleotides) under uncultured bacterium. RNAcentral describes it as "bacterial SSU rRNA". It matches the Rfam family "Bacterial small subunit ribosomal RNA", at positions 917 to 1341 of the family's 1533-position model. The record is from RNAcentral.
GGGCCCGCACAAGCGGUGGAGCAUGUGGCUUAAUUCGAGGCAACGCGAAGAACCUUACCUGGUCUUGACAUGCCCGUCAUAGUUUUCCGAAAGGAAUUCGUCGGUUCGGCCGGACGGUGCACAGGUGCUGCAUGGCUGUCGUCAGCUCGUGUCGUGAGAUGUUCGGUUAAGUCCGGCAACGAGCGCAACCCUCGUUCCUAGUUGCCAGCGGGUAAUGCCGGGGACUCUAGGAAGACAAACCUCGUGUAGAGGUGGGAAGGUGGGGACGACGUCAAGUCAGUAUGGCCCUUACGACCAGGGCUGCACACGUGCUACAAUGCUCGGCACAAUGGGAUGCAAUACCGCGAGGUUGAGCCAAUCCACAAAACCGAGCCCAGUUCGGAUUGGAGUCUGCAACUCGACUCCAUGAAGCUGGAGUCGCUAGUAA